CAGAAUCUUCUUUCUU
This 16-nucleotide small RNA is filed under the name Arabidopsis thaliana (thale cress). Its description in RNAcentral is "ATSL069390". Lineage: Eukaryota; Viridiplantae; Streptophyta; Magnoliopsida; Brassicales; Brassicaceae. The record is from RNAcentral.